This 3053-nucleotide long non-coding RNA is filed under the name Homo sapiens (human). Its description in RNAcentral is "non-protein coding lnc-PARPBP-1:1". The record is from RNAcentral. Lineage: Eukaryota; Metazoa; Chordata; Mammalia; Primates; Hominidae.
CAAAUGGAAUCACUAUUUUCUUCUGAGGAUAACACUUCCUGCCUCUUUUUGGCAUAACAGUAUACAAUCAUCAUGAGUUAUCUUUUCCCAAAACAGCUUCCCCUACUAAAAGAUAGAAGUUCUAUUGGGUAUGAAAUUGCUAUAAAAUUUUUCAUCUGUACUUUAAAGCAUGUAAAAGUUGAACCCAAACAUCUACAUGGUUAUAAAAUUUCACUGAAUUCUUUCUUUUAAUUACCUGGAACAUUCUCCUAUCUCUUAAAAAUAUAAUGUUCUUGAUUCUACAAUUAUUUUAAGACACCUUAAGAAUAGAAAACUGGAGUAAAAAAUAUUUACUGGCAUUAAACAUAAAUCUCUAAAACCUCAAAAAUAAGACCUACUCAUCUCUGAAAUAAAUAAUUUCUAUACAUCUCUGAACCACGUGACAGACACAUACUAGGUAUUUUCACAUACACAUAUAUAUACUCAACAACCACUUCCAGAAUACCCUAAGAUAUUUUUUUCUCCUUGGAUUUUUUUUCUUUUGAGAUAGUCUCGCUCUGUCGCCCAUGCUCCCUUACAGGUGAAAUACACAUUAUUGAUACGCAGCUGAAACAUGGGAUACAAUCCAUCUAUGAAUAACUGGUACAGUCCAGACUCCAUUUUUGCAGUCUACACCAAUGCUUGAACUUUUGGUGCUUUGGUUUUCUCAUCUACAAAAUACAAUACUACUACUGUCUCUGCAGUGUUUUGUGGGGAUUAAGUGAGAAUACAUGUCAAGUACUUAGUACAGUCCCUGGAAAAUAGAAAGCAUUCAACAAAUGUUGGCUGUUAAACCUAUUUCAUUUAGCUAUUUUUUUUUUUUUGAGACAGAGUCUCAUUCUGUUGCCCAGGCUGAAGGGCUCACUGCACCCUUAACCUCCCUGGCAUGAGCAAUCCUCCCACCUGAGCCUCCAGAGUAGCUGGGACUACGGUCGAGCACCACACCUGGCUAAUGUUUGCAUUUUUAGUAGAGAUGAGAGAUGAGGUUUCACCAUGUUGCCCAGGCUGGUCUCCAACUACUGAGCUCAAGUGAUCCACCUGUCUCGGCCUCCCAAGGUGCUGGGAUUACAGGCAUGAGCCACUGCUCCCGGCCACAUUUAGCUACUCUUUAACCUCUUUUUUCUUAGGGUCAGAGACUGAGAUGUCCUCAGUCCCAAUUCUUUGAUCCCGUGACAUCCUGAAUCCUUGGUCCUGUUAUUAGUAUGCAUUGAAAUCCUAGCUCCUAUUGAGUCUUAUUGGAUUUGGGAGCUUAGUUUUUGGAGGUCUCUUGACUUUUGUAUAUUUUACUAUCUGUUAAAUUCUAGCCAUUUGUUUUGUGUUUUCCUGAUCUUACGGCUUUUUUUAUGGUUUAUAUCUCUUGGGAUUUUCAUAAGAAUUCUAUGAGAUAGGUAAUCAUGAACUCAUAUCUUUCUUCUCUAGCUGCCUUAUUUUCAUCAAGGCCAAGCAUAAGAGGCUAACAAUUCUGGGCUUGCAGAGCACUGAAACGACUGUAGAGCACUGUAAAUGACUGAAAACGUAUGGCAGAGCACUGAAAGCCAUUAGGCUUGUUAUUGCUGCAAUAAUAGUAUCAACGAUGACCAGCAGCUAAAAUUGACUGAGUGCUUACUAUGUGCUUUUUAAAGGAUUUUACACGUUAGCACAUUUAAUCUUAUGUAUCCAUUUUAUAAGAUGAAGUGAAAUCAGAGAAAGUUUAAGUAACUUGUCAGAGAUCACACAGCUAGUAAGUGGUGAAACUGGGAUCUGACUCCAGGCAGUUAAUUCAAGAGUCCACACUCUUAACCACUUCUCUGUAUUCUAGGUUUCUGAGUUUAGCAGUGAUAGGAUGAAACUGAUAUUCUAAGACUCUUAGUCUAGUAGGCAAGAAGAAUCAAAGAGUAAAGAGCCAAAGACUUUAGAAACAAGCUAAGGCUUGGCAAGUUAGGCAUGAGAAAAGAAAGGGGGAGAAUGCACCUUAAUGAAGAGAAGAAUGCUAGAGUUAGUGAAAAUGAAGGAAAAAUUAAAAGACCUGGAAUAGUUUGUGUAUAGGGAAAGAAGAAUUAAAGAUGAUUUUAGGAUUCUGAGUUUAUGUGAUUUAGAACAGGGACUUUCAAACAUUCUGAAGUCAUGGAAACAUCAUAAAAGAAAGGAGAUGGGGUAAGGUGGAAUUUUAAUGAUAUGUAGGAGAAAAAACAAAUUAAGUUAAAGCAUAUGGAAGAAAGAGAUAAAAAAUAACAGCAAGAAAUUAAGCAUUAAGAUGUAAGUUUUGGGAUAGAAGUUGUAAUAAAUGUUCUCAUUUGUCAUGCAGGUCAUAGUUUUUAAAAAGCAGUUUAUUGUAGUUAUAUAUGGUGAUAUUAACAUUUUGGUAGAAACUGUGUGUUUUAAGUAGACUCACUGCUCUCAGGGAGAAAUGUAGGCAUAAAACAAAAUUUAGGAACUGGACUCAGAAAUAAACCUAUCAAUUUAAUAAGUUAGAACAUUUCACUCAUGCACAUAUGCAGAGUAUAAUUCUACUGAUGAAAGACUCAAUGGGCCUGGAACAAAUUUCCAUGAAAUCCCAGGGUUCAGAGCACACACUUAGAUACAGUCUGGGGAUUAUCUCCUCUGUGAAAGCUGCGAGAAGAUUUGGUUAAUCCUUCUUUAUGUCAUCAUUCUACUUAAUAGAUUUUUUGAUUCUAAAACUUAUUUGUGUUGCUGUAUUUACAUGUUUUUUCUCCCUUAUACAUCAGUAUACUAAGGACUUUAUUCAUUCUUUUAUUCCCUAUUACAAUAAAGGGUACAGUGUAGUGACAAUUAACCCUUGAAGCAAUUCACAAAUAUAUGGUGAAAGAAAAGUUGGCAGAGUAUAAAGAAAAAGGGAACAUAUACGCAAAGUUGCUCAAGAGGACUCAGAUAAUGCGGCUUUAAAAAUCAAACUAGCAGUUUCAAGAAGGAGGUGAUCAGCAGUGUAAAACACUGGCUGGAGAAUAAGAAUGAAGGAAAAGGCCACGGGAUGUGUUGAAAAUAUCCCUGGUACCUUGUGAGACAGUAGUGGAGACUGACUGAGAUUAUGGUGUUAG